Molecule: small RNA, 615 nt
Filed under: Pongo abelii (Sumatran orangutan)
Lineage: Eukaryota; Metazoa; Chordata; Mammalia; Primates; Hominidae
Description: processed transcript
Source: RNAcentral
GGGCAUAUGCUAAGUGGGCAGCAUGGAGGGCAGGCAGGGUUGGUACCCCAGCAGAGCUCACAGCCAGUGCUAUCACAGAAGCCCAUGGGCACCAUGCCACCGUCCAUGUGCAUGAAGCCGCAGCAACUGGCAAUGCAGCAGCAGCUGGCAAACAGCUUCUUCCCAGAUACAGAAGAGGAAACAGAAGUGGAGGUUAAGUAACUUGUCCAAGAUUACACAGCAGCUAGCAGAGCUAGAUCUGAAGUCUGGUCGGUACUCCUCUUAACUGUUUACUGCCUCAGGAUUCCAGGAGAGGGAGUUUGGUUAGUCCUUAAGAAAGUGGGAGCUCUGGCCAGGUGCUGUGGCUCAUGCCUUUAAUCCCAGCACUUUGGGAGGCUGAGGCGGGUGGAUCACCUGAGGUCAGGAGUUCCAGACCAGCCUGGCCAACAUGGUGAAACCUCGUUUCUACUAAAAAUACAAAAAUUAGCUGGGCUUGGUGGUGGGCGCCUGUAAUCACAGCUACUCAGCAGGCUGAGGCAGGAGAAUCGCUUGAACCCAGGAGGCAGAGGUUGCAGUGAGCCGAAAUUGCACCAUUGCACUCCAGCCUGCGUGACAAGAGCAAGACUCUUGUCUUAA